RNAcentral lists this ribosomal RNA (255 nucleotides) under uncultured bacterium. RNAcentral describes it as "partial 16S ribosomal RNA". It matches the Rfam family "Bacterial small subunit ribosomal RNA", at positions 524 to 776 of the family's 1533-position model. The record is from RNAcentral.
UACGAAGGGGGCUAGCGUUGUUCGGAUUUACUGGGCGUAAAGCGCACGUAGGCGGAUCGUUAAGUCGGGGGUGAAAUCCUGGAGCUCAACUCCAGAACUGCCUUCGAUACUGGCGAUCUUGAGUCCGGAAGAGGUGAGUGGAACUCCUAGUGUAGAGGUGGAAUUCGUAGAUAUUAGGAAGAACACCAGUGGCGAAGGCGGCUCAGCUGGUCCGGUACUCGACGCUGAGGUGCGAAGACGUGGGGAGCAAACAGG